AGCUCCAAUAGCGUAUAUUAUGUUUGUUGCAGUUAAAAAGCUCGUAGUUGGAUCGCGGGUUUUGGAAUGCGGUCGUCCCUGGCCCGGCGGCCGACUGCAUGUCCUGACCUACCUGCCGGUCUUCCCCUGGUGCUCUUGACUGAGUGUCUGGGGCGGCCGGGACGUUUACUUUGAAAAAAUUAGAGUGUUCAAGGCAGGCGUUUUUGCCUGAAUAAUAGUGCAUGGAAUAAUGGAAGAGGACCUCGGUUCUAUUUUGUUGGUUUUCGGACCUUGAGGUAAUGAUUAAGAGGGACUGACGGGGGCAUUCGUAUUACGGCGUUAGAGGUGAAAUUCAUGGACCGCCGUAGGACGAACUACAGCGAAAGCAUUUGCCAAGAAUGUUUUCA
RNAcentral lists this ribosomal RNA (386 nucleotides) under marine Metazoa environmental sample. Its description in RNAcentral is "SSU rRNA". It matches the Rfam family "Eukaryotic small subunit ribosomal RNA", at positions 587 to 972 of the family's 1831-position model. Lineage: Eukaryota; Metazoa. The record is from RNAcentral.